Molecule: long non-coding RNA, 3892 nt
Organism: Triticum aestivum (bread wheat)
Lineage: Eukaryota; Viridiplantae; Streptophyta; Magnoliopsida; Poales; Poaceae
Exons: 3
Source: RefSeq, a predicted model, not a curated record
AGCCCAGCCAGCCGCACGACCCUGCCUCACGCCCACACCUCCUGCCCGACCCGCCUCACCGCGCGCCGCGCCGCCGCCGGCCACCCCCCGCCGUUGAGCACCGCCACCGGCUACCCUCCUCCCGUCGGGAUCCCCGAGCACCUGACCCGGCCUUCGUUCGUCGUCAGCACCUGCGGAUACGGCCGCCCCUCGCCUUCCCUGUCGGUUGCACCUCCGAGCGCUGUCGCCCCUGCCAAGCUCCGCCGCCUGGAUCCACAUCCCCACGGCCGGAACGGGUCCCCCUCGAGGAGCCGCGCAUCCUCUACCUGCUCCAACUGCACACGCGUCCUCCGCUAGGUUGACUCCCGCCGCCUACGACGAUCGAUGCCGUCAGAUCUGCUCUGCUCCAAUUUGAGCGCCCCCCCCCCCCCAAAUUUUAUGUUCCCCGAUCCAGUGGGAUUUCCAUGAGUGUCAUGCAACAAAUCGGGAAGUAGCAGGGCCCGUCUAGCUGGUGCUCCAGUGAUGAAUUUUGUUGAACUAGGUAAAGCUUUAGAUGUCAGACAUGCUGUGAACUUUACUGCACAAGCAUUCGACAGCAUGGUUCUAUUAGUGACCGAGGGAUUUGGAGGUACAAGUACUGAAGGGUUUGUAUUGCUUCCGAUGAAUGUUGGUCAUGCAUCGGAUGUCACUCAGUUUCUAGGAAAUUCAAGAUGUCAUCAAAGAAACAGACAAACAAGGAGACAAAACUUAAACAAGAGAGAUGUAUGAGGAUGUCAGUGUCUCAUCAAACACGUAUUGUGUGAGGACACCCUUCGUCCGACCUAAUCUUGACGAUCAUCCGUAGGUACACACAUACAUGUUCUUCCCUGCCGCCUCUUGGUUUAGUUCACAUGUCUUGAAUUACUUUGAUCCUUUUGGUAACAUCAAACUGGGUUGCAUAGAAGUAACUGCUAACUGGGUUUGACCUUUGUGAGGAAUCUACAACAGCACUUCAAAACUCCCAGGCUGUUUUCAUCAGCAAGCUUACAGCUGACCACAUGAUGGAACUCGAUAAUACAACACUGUACGAUGUACUUGAGAUCCAAUGAAUACCUGUUGAAGCGAUGUGGUCAUCAGCAUGUAUGCUCUCAAUCUCCUGGUAGGGUAUUUUCUCUUAAACGAUGCUACUGUCACAUGAUGCAUAUCAUGGUUUUAUUGCGUGGUAAUUUGACCAGCACAACACUUGUUGCUAUUAUCCUUUCGAGGAUGCAGAAUGACUCUUCAAUUUGGGGUGCCAACUAUGCUAGCUUUAUAUUGCUGAAUGUAGGAGCUUAUUUAUUUUUCUUGUUAGUUAUUCAAUGAUAUUGAGCAGGGCAUCUCAAUGAACUAUUCUUUCUGAUUCCUGGAGUUACAUGUGUGAUUGCUUAGACUCUUCUAAUAGUGUCAUAGUCUGGUUGGUUGCUUGGCUGAAAUAGUUUCUUACUGGUCUCGUUCUGGACCUGUUCCCGCGUAUAUAGAAUAUAUUUUCUACUGGUUUCAUCAAACAAAGAAGUCAUAAACAUUAAAUAUUUAAAGUUUUGUCUCGUUCAUACUUUCUAGAAUCUGAAACUAUAUUGAAAUCAUCAUCGAAAUUCCGCAAGAAUAUUAAAGACACCCGUGUCAUUCAUCCCUACUAGAUGAUGAAUGCUAUUGCUAAUUUUUUUUCUCAAAGAUGCCUCAUUUUCAUGAAGAAGAAAGCUCAAUAGACCAAAAUUCCAUAUCAUUUCUUCUUUCUUAAGGAAAACUGACUGCAGGCAGCAAUCACAGAUGUGCAGCCUAUUUUCAGUUGACAAUAUACUGAAUAAUUUGGCAGUGAACAAGUACAGAAAACGCUGUUAAGAGGCGAUAGUUUUGAACCUGAGUUUAUAAAAGAAAAUGUACCAACUCGUGUUGAAAAUAUCUUAGGUAUCAAGUUCACCAGGUUUGAGAUGUUCACAGAAACAUGUUAGUUUCAGGCAGCUACAAUUCAGAAUUGUUUGCCACACUGUAACGUUUCAGGAAAUCAGAAACAUUUCCCAUGAUGUUAAUAUGUUGACUAGGGGCCGUUUGUAGCUACUUUAAUGAAAAUUGUAGUACCAAAGUGUCCUGCUGCAUAUAUUAAAUUGCAAAGGGAAAGUAAAAAAACUUAGGACUUGAUUGUCUAUCUGAUCCAUCAGUAAGCAAGCAAGGGCCAUGUUGUCAAGGAACAGAGUUCAAAAACCAUCAAUCUCAGGAACACUCUGACCAUGCAUUUGAUUCUGUUAAAGACCCAAUAUAUGAUAAGAUGCUAUUUUCAUUUGCUAGGCAACCAUGAGAACGUUUCUGUCCAAUUCAUAAUUUAAAUUAGUCCUGUGUGUUCUUUUAUCCAGUUAUUACAAAUUUACUCCUGUGUCUUCUUUUAUUUAGUUCUGUGAGGAAGAAGGGAUUACAUUGAUGUGUAAUAUGUUUUUUGUUCUACAACCAUACCUACAUGGGAUUAUAGUUCAGUUAGAAAUCUGAGAUUAUUUUCCUCUAGAAAUGAGCAUUAGCCCUCAGAACAGAAACGAACUGCACAACUAUGCUCCUACUUAAUUAUGUAUUAAUCAAUAUGUUCAUUAUUACAGUAAGUUUAGAAACUGCAUUUGUGUAUUUGUACCAAGCUUCCUUGCUCAUCUCAUUAUGUGCCUACCAUGUUGUAUGUCGGAAAGCAGUGGUUUUGAUAUAGAGCUAUAGUUCUUCUAUAUGUUUCUGCUGCUUAUAUAUUAUUGAUGUGUUUCCCUCACCUGCUAUUUGAAUGACAUAAUCCUUCAGAUCUUUCCCAAUUUUUGUGUUAAAGCUAACAAGACCCCCCCUUCCUGUAAAUACAACUUUGAACGAAGGGAAGCAAUAUAGGGCCGCCUUUAUAUCUUGGGUCACUCCAUAGCAGGGAGCAAGAGUGGGCACAUCCGAGUUUAGAUAUUCAGUCACUGUUUUCCAAUCCAUCUGAAGCUCCACGGGUCCUCUGAAAACUUUUGUCAGAGCAUGCAGCCAAACCAGGGCUAUCCAGGCUUCAGCUUCCUCCACACUAUCAUAAACUGGUAACUCACAGUAUGUCGACAGAUACACUUAGCCUCUAAUGACUAUUCCGAAGGGACGCUGCAUGUUCCUAGAUGCAUAGAUUUUCAUAUAUAGAUUUCAUUACACUGAGAUUUUUUUUAGGGAUAACAAUGGGAUUUAAGACAUAUUUUUUUCUGUAGAAUUCUCAAAUUGAAAUCUGAAUAAACCAUACCUUCAAAGGCCAACAUAGUGGCACUUAAAAUAAAUGCUAAUCUGCACUCGCGCUGCUAUCUGGUGCCCAUUCUUCUGGUGAUUUGGUCAAAGCUACAACCAAGCAAAGAAAUUUUACAUGCUAUAAGAACUAAGUUAUGGAUUUUGUGUUCCCAGGUCUAUAUUAUGCAUGCUUUGCCGGUUCCCUGCAAGCGCUUUCGGCCAUGACAUCAAGUUCAGCAGCUAGGCCGUGAAUGUUUUGAUCCUUCUCACUGUCCACCGAUGAUGGCCCGACAGAAAUCAGGGAAGGAGAAAAGGAUGUUGUUGUCAUGGUCGUCGGAAUGACUUGCCGUGGACGCAGUCACGCACUGGAUGACAUCGACGGCUAGCCAUGGAUGAGCACCUUGCCGCGUCCGCAAAAUGUGGAUGCACGGGAUUCUGCUACUAACAUUUCAGUGUGUUCUGUUGCGGUGCUGUGACAUAUACACCUUCAGUGUGUGUAUAAUGUUGUCAGAUACUACUUUAGAUAAAUAACCACUCUAUUCUAUUGUAUGUGUAAUUGAAAUGUUCAUAUGUGUUUAACCAUCUGGCAAAGAGGCUCACUGGAUGUUUCUUAUAAUAUUCUAUCUGUAAUAGACAUGUACGCAUGUAUUUAACCAUCUGGCAAAGAGGCUCAUUGGAUGUUUCAAAA